RNAcentral lists this ribosomal RNA (490 nucleotides) under uncultured bacterium. Its description in RNAcentral is "partial 16S ribosomal RNA". It matches the Rfam family "Bacterial small subunit ribosomal RNA", at positions 28 to 505 of the family's 1533-position model. The record is from RNAcentral.
GAUGAACGCUAGCUACAGGCUUAACACAUGCAAGUCGAGGGGAAACGACAUCGAAAGCUUGCUUUUGAUGGGCGUCGACCGGCGCACGGGUGAGUAACGCGUAUCCAACCUGCCCACCACUUGGGGAUAACCUUGCGAAAGUAAGACUAAUACCCAAUGAUAUCCCACGAAGACAUCUGAAUGGGAUUAAAGAUUUAUCGGUGAUGGAUGGGGAUGCGUCUGAUUAGCUUGUUGGCGGGGUAACGGCCCACCAAGGCAACGAUCAGUAGGGGUUCUGAGAGGAAGGUCCCCCACAUUGGAACUGAGACACGGUCCAAACUCCGACGGGAGGCAGCAGUGAGGAAUAUUGGUCAAUGGGCGAGAGCCGGAACCAGCCAAGUAGCGUGCAGGAAGACGGCCCUAUGGGUUGUAAACUGCUUUUAUAAGGGAAUAAAGUGGGUCACGUGUGACUUUUUGCAUGUACCUUAUGAAUAAGGACCGGCUAAUUCCG